AAUCCCCAAAUGAGGAAACUUUCUAGUACAUAUUGUUGAAAAUCAAGCUUCAUUUCUACUGAAUGCAUUGCAUAUCCUAAAGAGAAGUUGCUUUUAAAAAUAAAUUUCCAAGAUCUGCUUUAAAAAAUAUUUCAUUGGAUUCUUUCUCAUAAAACAGUUUUGGAUAUUUGAACUUUCUGGUUUUGUGGCUUUUGAGUAAAGAGGAGUUUGCCUUAGUGCCUUUAAUUAUGAUUAGGGAGGAUCAUAACUUUUCUUUUUCCUGAGCAGUUAAAAUGUGCCAACAGUAUUCGAGUCUUGACAAGGCUCACCAUUCUUUGCAGAACACCGAAUGAAGGAGCCUUACUUGGUAUCUCAUAAGAUCUCUUUCAUUUUUGAAAGACUAAAGCUUCUGUCAGGCAACUAAUAUUUCAAAGCUGACCCCAGAGGGAAUUUUUUUUUAACCAGCAAAUUAAUAGAUUCAGUGUUAAAGUCUUUAGAAACAUUGUUUUCAUUAUUUAAUAGAAUUAAGGCAGAGUGGCGUUCUCCAUCCUACCCUCACCAAAAACUUUCUUUCAACUUGAUAGUAGAUCUCCAAUAACCUUUCUAAAAGCUUUGUGUAGAAUGUGAGGGCAACAUACGGAGUUUUUUCAUCUCAAACUUAAUAUUGUAGGAUGAAAGAUAGGAAACUUUAAAAAAAAAAAAGUGGCAUUAGAAACUAAACAUUAUGUAAAGACUGCAGUCCCUUGCGUCAGGGGCUUGAAUUGUUUUUGUUUAAAGAUCUACUAAGAAAGAGCUAAGAUUAGCUGGAAUGUUGGUUCCCUCUUUCCUGCUAUCAAGUGUCAGAGAGUUGGUAUUGUUGGGAGAGACUGGAGUUUCAUUUUCCUUGGACACAUACUGAUGACAGCACUACAGAAGCAACUUCACAAGAUCAUAAGGCCUACAAUUGACUCUGCAGUGGCCAAAGGGCAGGACCAAGCUGGUGAUCAGUAUGUCAUUUGGCAUUUGAUUGGCUUGGAGUAAGGGCAGUAAGACUUCUAGCACUGAUCUGAAUUCCU
Molecule: long non-coding RNA, 1034 nt
Organism: Sarcophilus harrisii (Tasmanian devil)
Lineage: Eukaryota; Metazoa; Chordata; Mammalia; Dasyuromorphia; Dasyuridae
Exons: 3
Source: RefSeq, a predicted model, not a curated record